ACCCAGCGACGCCGCGUGCGGGAUGAAGGCCUUCGGGUUGUAAACCGCUUUCAGCAGGGAAGAAGCGAAAGUGACGGUACCUGCAUAAGAAGCACCGGCUAACUAUGUGCCAGCAGCCGCGGUAAUACAUAGGGUGCAAGCGUUGUCCGGAAUUAUUGGGCGUAAAGAGCUCGUAGGUGGUUCGUCACGUCGGAUGUGAAACUCUGGGGCUUAACCCCUGACCUGUAUUUCGAUACGGGCGAGCUAGGAGUAUGGUAGGGAAGACUGGAAUU
Molecule: ribosomal RNA, 272 nt
Filed under: uncultured bacterium
Lineage: Bacteria
Description: partial 16S ribosomal RNA
Rfam family: Bacterial small subunit ribosomal RNA
Source: RNAcentral